RNAcentral lists this long non-coding RNA (3509 nucleotides) under Canis lupus familiaris (dog). Its description in RNAcentral is "lncRNA (ENSCAFG00845001018.1)". The record is from RNAcentral. Lineage: Eukaryota; Metazoa; Chordata; Mammalia; Carnivora; Canidae.
UUUUUUUUUUUUUGAGAGAGAGAGAGGAAGAGAGAGAAAGUAUGCACACAUACAUGAGGAGAGGAGGGGCAGAGGGAGAGAGAGAGAAAGAGAGAGAGAAUCCUUAAGCAGACACACUGCUGAGCAAAGAGCGUGAUGUAGGGCUUGACCUCACAAUCCUGAGAUCAUGACCGGAGCCAAAAUCAAGAGUCAAACACUUAACCACUUAACCAGCUGAGUCACCCAGGCAACCCCAAGCUCUUCCACCUCUUAAUAUAAAAGCCAAUAUUGCUUUUUAAGGAAUCUUGUAUCAGUUUAUAUUAAAUGGUACAUAAGGCUGCAUGUUUCACCAUACUCCUGAACACAAGGAAUUAAAUAUUCUAAAAUAUUACCAAUGUCAUAUGAAAAGGUUUAUCUUAUUGUUUUAAUGUGCAUUUAAAAAUUUUUUGAGAAAGAUUUUAUAUAUUUAUUCAUGAGAGACACACAGAGAGAAGCAGAGACAUAGGCAGAGGGACAUUCCGCAGGGAGCCUGAUGUGGGACUCGAUCCCAGGACCCCGGGAUCACGACCUGAGCCGAAGGCAGAUGCUCAACUGGUGAGUGACCAGGUGCCCCUGAUGUGCAUUUCUUUUGCUCUUAGUAGGGACAAACAAUUUUAUUUGUCUACUAUAGCAAUUUAACUUGCAUUUUGCUCUGGAAGGGAAUAGGGUUUGAAUGAAUGGGACACAGACAAACAAGGCAAGAAAAAAAAGAGAUGUCCAGAGCCUAGAUGCAAGUGCAUAAAGGAAUCGGCUAAGGAACCUAGGAAGAUUCUGACCUACCUGCUUAUAAAGAGGCCAGGUACUGGCACUUUCUAAAAGCUGUGCAGGGAGCUCGAACAUGGAACUAGGGGUGAGACAGGGCUUUAUCAGGAAGAGCGAGCCUGUGUGGGUGGCCAGGGUGGACUCUAAGGGAGGGUGACGGUGGGACAUGAAGGCACCAGGCUCCUUCCUGCAGGGCUGCUGGUGGUAACAGGCCAUGGAAGUUGCCAAACAAGAAUCCAAGAUAAAACAGGCUACCACAUUGUACCUUUCCUUGUACCACUGAGUCUCGAUUUGGGGCUGAUAAAGCUGCGUUUUAUUGUGUAACUUUCUCUCCACUUGGAGCUGAUAAUUCAGUUUGUGAAUUGUUCUGGUUCCUGCUUUCUUCUUGCUCCAGAGUGAGUUUAGACACUUCUUUGCUCAUAAGCAACUCUGUGAAGUGCUACAAGUAAUGGCUAGCAUGAGGGUUGGAGAUUAUCUGUGGAUUCCAAAUAACCAAUUUUUUCCCCAACCCCUGUUGCCACAAAAAUAACAAAUUAACUUUUAGAAGCUUUUUCUCCUCUUUCCCCUGCCUCAAAUUGAGAUGGGUUAUAGGAAGGGGUGUGUGUGUGUGUGUGUGUGUGCGCGCGCGUGUCCCUGGUGUGUCUCAUUUUGAGUCAGAGUGACUUUAUGGUCCUAGAGGACUACCAACAUCCAGUAGGGCAGCCUCACAUGUGCUCACCUCUGUGGGGAUGGGGGAAAGCUUCCCAGGCUGCCCGUGAAGACAUUACACUCAGCUGCCUCUGACUUCCUGAAAGCUGCCCUGUCAGAGGUUGGCCACCUCAAUCAUAGCACUUUUAAGAUCCUAAGGACACUGCUCCUGGCAUCUGAGGGAGCUCUAGAAUCUUAGCCAGUGUUUUAGAGGUGGCCUGAUGCACAAAGAGAAUAUAAACUCUGAGUCAGGAAAGCUGGUUUGUAGUCCUGCCUUCUGCCACCAAUAGGCCAAAUAACCUUUGAGGAGUCACCUCAUCUCUCUGGGUCUAAUGUUUUUCUCACGUGAACAAUGAAGAUAGUGACUCUCAUCUCUAGUGUGCUGGAAAGGACACAUUCUGACCCUCAGCUGGGCUGGGCACUAGCUCAUGGCCUGGAGUGGUCACUGGUCCUCAAGGAGUCUUACUUUCUCAUAUUCUAUUAUAUGGGGGCUGGCACCCACCAAGCACAAAUGGUAGAAAGGUGUAGGGAUCCCAUAAGUGAAUGUGGGUAAAGUCAUGAGGGAAGUGUGAAUUAAGGAGUGUCAUACUACCGGGGAGAGUAAAUUGGCUUUUCAGUGUAAAUUGGCAUUUCUUCUAAUAUAAGAAUCCACACCAGGAUGAGGUGGCAGGGUGUGUGUGCUGCAGAAUCAGGUGAGCACAGCCUGGAAUACUUUGAGGACAGCCAGAGGGUUCGAGGUUCCAUCAAUGGGUUUUGAAGUAAGAUUGUUCUUCUUUUAAACUCAUGACCUCUUGACAAAAAUACAUCUCCUGUGCUUCUUUAAUGCUGUUUGAAAUGUCAAAAGGUAUGUACCAUCAAGACUAAACUGAAGUCAUCUACAACCCCUCAAAGAGCUGCCCCUUGUUAUCUCACCUUCCCCACUGCUUUAUUGGGCAUCACUGCUCCAGGGUAAGCUCUAGGAUGACAGCAAUAGUUUCCCUCCACGCUUUCGGGUAUCCCAGGAUGGUGUGGUGGUGCAUCUGGACCAAGCUUAAAGUCACAGAAAGCCAGAGCUGUGAGGUUCAUUUGAGGUUUGGAGCAGUUAGUGGCAAGGCACAGGGUCCCCAUGUCUGCCAGGCUGUUAGGGACCAGAUUGGAGCCAGGGUCAUUUAUCUCACUGUCCUGCCCUUUCAUUUGGAUGAAAAGCUCUCAACAUUGAGGCAAAAUCCCUCCUGUGGCUCAAAGUUCCAGUAGCAAUCCUCAGGAGACUCCAGGGGGGUCUCAAGGCUCUCCUGGAUUUGGAGGAAUGAAUGAGUCACUGGGGCAGCCACAAACCCACAAAGAGACUGCCAGUUGUAAAACACUCACAAUUUCACGCCUGCUGGCCCACUUGGUAGAAAUAUUUGUAUGCUUCCUUAACAUGUAAUCUGUUAGAAAGGGGCCACGUCUUUAUCUCUGACAAUUAACACUUUCUAUUAGGGAAAAAAUAAGAGUGGAAUCUGCACUGUUCUUUCCCUUUCUUCCUCCUCAGGCUGAGUGGGGGUUCGUUCACAUGUGCUUGAGGUGGGACAUCUUGUAAACUUUCUCAUACCUGCAAAUAUCUAUUUAUAAGCUGCCCAAGGGUCUUCCCCAGCAAGCCCAGGAAGCCAGAAGCUAGUUUCCCAUAUCAGCUAAGCCCUCAUUUCUUCUCUUGAAUUUAGCUAAGUUGGGUUCUUCUGUAGAAAAAUCUCAAGGAGGGAAGGGUAACAAAAGAGGACAAGGAAAGAACUGAGCUAGAAAUCUCAGCAAGGCAAUACUGUCUCUAAACUGUAGAAUUCUGAUGCUUUAAGCUUCCUGGAACUUAACUUGAAAAGAGACAAGAAAACAUAUCCCUAGAAUCUACUUACUUUUUUGCUCAUUUUUAUUUUAUUUUGGAAUUUACAAAAUGAUCUCUUUUGCACAUAAGUCAAAAUAAUUUGGAAGGUUUUCUAAAUCUCUAAUUGAGUAACCAGAACUCACUGUCCACCAUCCAAGUGCUUUUUUUUUUUUUUUUUUUUUGUCUGGUAAGGGUUCCAUGGACUCUG